Molecule: transfer RNA, 90 nt
Filed under: Geothrix sp.
Lineage: Bacteria; Pseudomonadati; Acidobacteriota; Holophagae; Holophagales; Holophagaceae
Also listed under: 8 other names
Description: tRNA-Ser
Rfam family: tRNA
About the family: Transfer RNA (tRNA) molecules are approximately 80 nucleotides in length. Their secondary structure includes four short double-helical elements and three loops (D, anti-codon, and T loops). Further hydrogen bonds mediate the characteristic L-shaped molecular structure. tRNAs have two regions of fundamental functional importance: the anti-codon, which is responsible for specific mRNA codon recognition, and the 3' end, to which the tRNAs corresponding amino acid is attached (by aminoacyl-tRNA synthetases). tRNAs cope with the degeneracy of the genetic code in two manners: having more than one tRNA (with a specific anti-codon) for a particular amino acid; and 'wobble' base-pairing, i.e. permitting non-standard base-pairing at the 3rd anti-codon position.
Source: RNAcentral
GGAGAGAUGGCCGAGUGGUUGAUGGCACCGCACUCGAAAUGCGGAGACGGGGAAACCUGUUCGGGGGUUCGAAUCCCUCUCUCUCCGCCA